GUCUUCACGUCGCAUCCGCAGCAUGCGCUGCUGAUCUGCCGAGUUUGACGGCGGCAGCAGCCCGAGUGAUGAGAUCCACGUCUUGGGCGCGCGCAGAUCCAGCAUGGGCUCAUCCCCCGAUGUUGGCCUGGUCGGAGGAGAGAAACUGUGCGGUGGCCGGUCUAGGACAAUGGCUCGCAGGAGGCCGUAGUGUACCCUAGCCAUCGCUGGAUUCCGGUGUGGCUCCCGCCCCGUCUGUUGGCUUCCUCGACACCAUGGCCUCAUGAUGCUGCUUCGACCAUAGGUCAGGUUCAUUUUCCUAAGCUGGUAGUUGUAACAGCCGUUCGUGGGCAGUGUGGGAAGCCUAAGGCUGGUGCGUGGCCUCCCUCUUCAAUCGAUUACUUAAGCUUGGCUACUGCCUUCUCCAAAUCUUAGGGUGUUGUGUGUGCGUGCUGACAUGGUGGCGGCAGUGGCUAUCGAGGGCUAGGGUGUGUAUACGAGUGAGAUGUGUGUGCGUGCAGUAGAUGCCGAGUUGUGUUUGCGGGUUUCCUCUCUGGAUCUUUAACAUUGAAUUUUCUAUGUAUCUUUACACUGCAGGGUACCCAGUAAAGACAGAAGGCACAUGUUCGUCAACCGGCUGCACUGUGCUAUGUGGGCUUCUAUCAAGAUCAAAUUUUGUUUAAUUUUCUACCAAGAUCUAAUUCAGUUUAGAUUUUUCUGACAGUUUUAUGUAUCUCUCUUCUCUAAAUCAAUAUAAUUAAGUGGUCUAUAUGCAUUCAGUUUAGUUUUCUAUCAAAAUAUAAUUCAGUAUGAAUCAAUGUAAUCAAGUGGUGAAUAAUUUCAUCAAAUAGGAGACAUGAUUUCUGUUACUGUAUUAAUAUGGUGACAUGUUCUGUUUAGAGUUUUCUCCGUACACUUCUGUCCAUAUUGUCAACUGCAGCUUGGUGAAUAUAUAUAACCAGAAUUAAGUUUAAUCUGAAUCUAAGAAGAAAAAUACAUUGGUACAGUGUGGCAGUACUGCAGUUAUAUUACAGAGGUUUAAACCUGUUCGUUUGUGUACUAAGCAAAUGUAGUACUACUACCAUUGGUUGUGCGCCUACUAGUACUAGAACCAAUGCCAUGUUAGUUCACUCUCCCUCAACCUGGAGGUACACACCAAGCUAGAACUUGCCAACACAGUGACACACAUUUCUUUUUCAACUCAUGUGCUCCCUGCCUCCAAGCCAGGUUGCCCUCCACGAUAGUUUUGCCGAGAAGUAGGGGUUGAUGUCUACUGUCUGAUCCUAAAUCUUUUCCCUGAUGUUUUCCCUUUUUUACAAUCAAUUAACACUGUAAUCUCCCUAACUAUGAUCUCUGCUUUUUUGGGAUGUAGGUCUAGGUGGUGUUGUAGCAGUCGUACUGCUGCAUGGCGCACAAUAGAGCUCGAGAGGGUGGACAUGAUAACUAUUGGUGGAGCUGCUCCGUGAUCAACUAGGGGUUGGUUCUCUACUGCCACUCCUAUGAUUUGUCCAGUAUUUCCAUUCCCUACCUUAAUUGCUACUGAACUACACCUAUUUAGUUAAUGUAGUUCUGAGUUAGGCAUUUUUCACCAUGGUGUGAUUUUCUACUAAUUUACUAAUUUGUUUGUGCCCCUUGGAUCUUGUGAUGAACUUCUCAUGCACUUGAAUUAAAAGUAACCACAACAUGCAUGUUGUUAAGAGCAAUAACUGAUACAUCCUAUCUAGUAUCUCUUCAGAGAACCAUUUGCCACUUAGUUUUAUAGAUUUAUUAGUGGCCACGGCUCAUAGUUAUUUUGCAUGCCAUUUGAUGUUUACUUGUCAAGCAAUUGUGUUUUACUACUAUAGGUGCCUUAGAUAAACAUUUAGUUUCAUGUGUAUGCUUGUUGACACAUGAAAAAUUUGAAGCUUACGCUCGCGAGGUCGAUGAGUAACCGAUGAGUAGCGGCUCCGCUUCAUUGAUAUUAUUUGUUAGUGAUGCCAUUUUCUCGACGGGUUUAUAUGGCCUUAACUGUUGUUGAGUACUUGUGUUCUCCGAUGUAUGUUCUAUUACAUUGUCACUUAUAUGUCAACUUGAUUAGACUUUCAUUUGACCCACUUUUAUUUGAUUUAAUUUUAGGCAACCUCAUGUUUAGUUUUGUUUUAAAGUAUAUUUUGUUAUUCUGAUAUGCAGGCUUGUUAAAAUUUAAGAAUUUUGGACAACACAUAAUUUAUUUUUGAAGUUUGUUCUUAUUCUUUUAUUUCUACUAUCUACUAUCUAAUGUUGUAAAUAUGUUAGGUAUGAUUGGGUAGCAGGCUUCUUGGUGCUGGCCAACACAAUCUGCCAUGACAUGAUACUUACCAUCAGGAGGGGCGACGACAAGAACCUGAAUAGCAGCCUCAAUAGUAUCAUAUUUUCUGUUGUUGUAAUUGGAUUGUACUGGUUCCUAGCGUUGUUGUGUGAUAUAUUUUGUCAAUAUAUUCUGUAAAUUACCAUUUCAUGGAGGAUUUUGUAAACUGAUGUGGUGUAGAUACCAAUAGAUGGUUGCAUAUUGAAUAUCCGUGUAAUGUAUGAUCACACUUUGGAAAUGCUUCGUCUUGGCCUAGAGUUGGUAUUAUGAUUU
RNAcentral lists this long non-coding RNA (2578 nucleotides) under Triticum aestivum (bread wheat). RNAcentral describes it as "long non-coding RNA (TAES_LNC002802)". Lineage: Eukaryota; Viridiplantae; Streptophyta; Magnoliopsida; Poales; Poaceae. The record is from RNAcentral.